Molecule: non-coding RNA, 785 nt
Organism: Candidatus Yonathbacteria bacterium
Lineage: Bacteria; Candidatus Yonathiibacteriota
Source: Rfam
CCUCGAUGUCGGCUCAUCUUAUCCUGGAGGUGGAGAAGCUUCCAAGGGUUUGGCUGUUCGCCAAUUAAAAAGAUACGUGAGCUGGGUUCAAACCGUAGGGGGGAAGGAACAACUGACAAUUAACUUUUGACAAUUGACAAAGAAUUUUUCGCAAAGCGAAAAAUUCUUCAGUCACCUGUCAAUGGUCACCUGUCACAUGUUCAUCCCUCCUUAGUUUGAACCCGAGGCGAUGAGACUAAACUCAUCAAUAAUGACAUUAAUAAUCACGGCGGCUAUAUACAGUGAUGUAUAUAGACAAGUUGACUAAUUUCGGGAAAACCUAAACGAGAAAUCGUAUGGCAAUUCCGAGGGAAACAAUGGAGAUCAUUGUGCCCGUAGAGACUAAACGUCAGCACCCCUUUGUAAAAAUAAGGGUUAUGCUAUAGUCCGAUCCCUCUUGAAAAAGAGGUUUACGCGGUUUGGAGACCAGAGCGUAAUGUAAAACACUAAUGCGUGAGACAGGUUGGUCUCCUAUCUUCUGCAGGCGUUGAAUUUUGAGGGGAUUUGCUCCUAGUACGAGAGGACCGGAGUGAACUGACCUCUGGUGUGGCUGCUGUCCUGCCAAGGGCACCGCAGCGUAGCUAUGUCGGGAAUGGAUAACCUCUGAAAGCAUCUAAGAGGGAAGCCAACCCCAAGAUCAGAAUUCGUUUGAGGCCCGUAAGAGAUGAUUACGUUGAUAGGCUCUAUGUGUAAGACGAGUAAUCGUUUCAGCAGAGGAGUACUAAUACGCCGAUUCUUAUUGGGAA